UACGGAGGAUCCAAGCGUUAUCCGGAUUCAUUGGGUUUAAAGGGUGCGUAGGCGGAAUGAUAAGUCAGCGGUGAAAUCCCUCGGCUUAACCGAGGAACUGCCGUUGAUACUGUCAAUCUUGAGUACAUUUGAUGUGGGCGGAAUGUGUCAUGUAGCGGUGAAAUGCUUAGAUAUGACACAGAACACCGAUUGCGAAGGCAGCUCACAAAACUGUAAACUGAACGCUGAGGCAACGAAAGCGUGGGUAUCAAACAGG
RNAcentral lists this ribosomal RNA (256 nucleotides) under uncultured bacterium. RNAcentral's name for it is "partial 16S ribosomal RNA". It matches the Rfam family "Bacterial small subunit ribosomal RNA", at positions 524 to 776 of the family's 1533-position model. The record is from RNAcentral.